Molecule: long non-coding RNA, 770 nt
Organism: Onychostoma macrolepis
Lineage: Eukaryota; Metazoa; Chordata; Actinopteri; Cypriniformes; Cyprinidae
Exons: 4
Source: RefSeq, a predicted model, not a curated record
UUCCACACACUCACUUUUAUCAAACUUUUGGAAACUAUGGAUGCCAACUGCCGUCAAACUCCAAUGAAGAAGAAGAAGAAGAAGAAACGUUUAGAAAGAGAAGCGGUGGUUGUGUUGAGUCCGUCAAGCUGAGCACAUUAUUGAGGACGAGUGGAAGUGAAAACACAUCGUGGAGUAUAUUUUUAUCGGACUAAUGAUGAUUGUUUCACAUCAACAUCCUGGGAUGUAAUAGAGGAAGCAUUUAAGGUCUUCAGAUGGAAGAUGCUGGUUUUAUCACUUUCCCACCGAUGUAGCAGGCUAUCCAUCGGAGACUCUGGGUUCAGACCAUACGGAGUGUUUGGUGCUGAGGCAGAUGAAGCAGCGCUGGGGCAGUCUGUGACCCUUCACUCUGGUGUAGAAGAAUAUCAUCUGAUCAACUGGAGUUUUGAGCACAGUAAUAUAGCUCGGUGUCGAGUCAACACCCCUGAGACCCGAUCGUGUGAGAUGACUGAUGAGAGACUCAGAGACAGACUGAAGACAGACAAUCAGACCGGGUCUCUCUCCAUCAUCAACAUCAGCACCGAACUCGCUGGACUUUAUAAACUACAGAUCAUCAGCUCUUCUAAAAAGUCGUCAUGCAAGGAAUUCAAUGUUACUGUCUCUGCAGGCCUGGAACCAGAUCAUACACAACUGAAAUGGGGACUGCUGGGACUGGGACUGCUGGGACUGCUGGGACUGCUGGUGCUUGUUGGUGUUGUGAUUUGCUGUUGCUGAAAAGCAAGAGGAAAUGG